UCCUGGCUCAGGAUGAAACGCUGGCGGCAUGCCUAAUACAUGCAAGUCGAACGAGGCAUCUUCGGAUGCCUAGUGGCGAACGGGUGAGUAACACGUAGGGAACCUGCCCAUGCGGCCGGGACAACUUCCGGAAACGGAUGCUGAUACCGGAUAAGGAAAGCGAAGGCAUCUUUGCUUUGUUAAAGGAGCUACAAGGCUCCGCGCAUGGAUGGACCUGCGGUGCAUUAGCUGGUUGGUGAGGUAAAGGCUCACCAAGGCGACGAUGCAUAGCCGGCCUGAGAGGGCGAACGGCCACACUGGGACUGAGACACGGCCCAGACUCCUACGGGAGGCAGCAGUAGGGAAUUUUCGUCAAUGGGCGCAAGCCUGAACGAGCAAUGCCGCGUGAACGAGGAAGGUCUUCGGAUCGUAAAGUUCUGUUGAGAGGGAAAAAGGGUCACCAGAGGAAAUGCUGGUGAAGUGAUAUUACCUUUCGAGGAAGUCACGGGCUAAC
RNAcentral lists this ribosomal RNA (493 nucleotides) under Clostridium sp. ARIAKE1333. RNAcentral describes it as "bacterial SSU rRNA". It matches the Rfam family "Bacterial small subunit ribosomal RNA", at positions 17 to 501 of the family's 1533-position model. Lineage: Bacteria; Bacillati; Bacillota; Clostridia; Eubacteriales; Clostridiaceae. The record is from RNAcentral.